AUUGAACGCUGGCGGCAGGCCUUACACAUGCAAGUCGAACGGCAGCGCGGGCUUCGUCCUUGCGGUGCUUGGCGAACGGGUGAGUAAUGCAUCUGAACGUGCCCAGUAGCGGGGGAUAGCGCGGCCAACGCGGGACUGAUACCGCAAACGACUUGCGGGUGAAAGCGGGGGACGGGAAGCCUUCGGCCUCUUGGCACCGGCGAUGCCGGAUUAGCUAGUUGGUGGGGUAACGGCUUACCCAGGCGACGAUCCGUAGCUGGUCUGAGAGGACGACCAGCCACACUGGGACUGAGACACGGCCCAGACUCCUACGGGAGGCAGCAGUGGGGAAUUUUGGACAAUGGGCGCAAGCCUGAUGCAGCCAUGCCGCGUGUGGGAAGAAGGCCUUCGGGUUGUAAAGCGCUUUUGUUCGGGAAGAAAUCCUCUGGGCUAAUACCCCGGGGGAAUGACGUUACCGGAAGAAUAAGCACCGGCUAACUACGUG
RNAcentral lists this ribosomal RNA (484 nucleotides) under uncultured bacterium. RNAcentral's name for it is "partial 16S ribosomal RNA". It matches the Rfam family "Bacterial small subunit ribosomal RNA", at positions 28 to 507 of the family's 1533-position model. The record is from RNAcentral.